UACGUAGGUCCCGAGCGUUGUCCGGAUUUAUUGGGCGUAAAGCGAGCGCAGGUGGUUUAUUAAGUCUGGUGUAAAAGGCAGUGGCUCAACCAUUGUAUGCAUUGGAAACUGGUAGACUUGAGUGCGGGAGAGGAGAGUGGAAUUCCAUGUGUAGCGGUGAAAUGCGUAGAUAUAUGGAGGAACACCGGUGGCGAAAGCGGCUCUCUGGCCUGUAACUGACACUGAGGCUCGAAAGCGUGGGGAGCAAAUAGG
RNAcentral lists this ribosomal RNA (252 nucleotides) under uncultured bacterium. RNAcentral's name for it is "partial 16S ribosomal RNA". It matches the Rfam family "Bacterial small subunit ribosomal RNA", at positions 524 to 776 of the family's 1533-position model. The record is from RNAcentral.